This 423-nucleotide ribosomal RNA is filed under the name uncultured bacterium. Its description in RNAcentral is "bacterial SSU rRNA". It matches the Rfam family "Bacterial small subunit ribosomal RNA", at positions 355 to 775 of the family's 1533-position model. The record is from RNAcentral.
UAAGGAAUAUUGGUCAAUGGACGAAAGUCUGAACCAGCCAUGCCGCGUGAAGGAUGAAGGUCCUCUGGAUUGUAAACUUCUUUUAUUUGGGACGAAAAAAGGGAAUUCUUUCUCACUUGACGGUACCAGAUGAAUAAGCACCGGCUAACUCCGUGCCAGCAGCCGCGGUAAUACGGAGGGUGCAAGCGUUAUCCGGAUUCACUGGGUUUAAAGGGUGCGUAGGCGGAUAGGUAAGUCCGUGGUGAAAUCCUGCAGCUUAACUGCAGAACUGCCGUGGAUACUAUCUAUCUUGAAUGUCGUGGAGGUUAGCGGAAUAUGUCAUGUAGCGGUGAAAUGCUUAGAUAUGACAUAGAACACCCAUUGCGAAGGCAGCUAACUACGCGAUUAUUGACGCUGAUGCACGAAAGCGUGGGGAUCAAACAG